RNAcentral lists this ribosomal RNA (495 nucleotides) under uncultured bacterium. RNAcentral describes it as "partial 16S ribosomal RNA". It matches the Rfam family "Bacterial small subunit ribosomal RNA", at positions 28 to 507 of the family's 1533-position model. The record is from RNAcentral.
GACGAACGCUGGCGGCGUGCCUAAUACAUGCAAGUAGAACGCUGAAGGAGGAGCUUGCUUCUCUGGAUGAGUUGCGAACGGGUGAGUAACGCGUAGGUAACCUGCCUGGUAGCGGGGGAUAACUAUUGGAAACGAUAGCUAAUACCGCAUAAUAGUAGAUGUUGCAUGACAUUUGCUUAAAAGGUGCAAUUGCAUCACUACCAGAUGGACCUGCGUUGUAUUAGCUAGUUGGUGAGGUAACGGCUCACCAAGGCGACGAUACAUAGCCGACCUGAGAGGGGGGUCGGCCACACUGGGACUGAGACCAGGCCCAGACUCCUACGGGAGGCAGCAGUAGGGAAUCUUCGGCAAUGGACGGAAGUCUGACCGAGCAACGCCGCGUGAGUGAAGAAGGUUUUCGGAUCGUAAAGCUCUGUUGUAAGAGAAGAACGAGUGUGAGAGUGGAAAGUUCACACUGUGACGGUAUCUUAACAGAAAGGGACGGCUAACUACGUG